This 205-nucleotide long non-coding RNA is filed under the name Mytilus galloprovincialis (Mediterranean mussel). The record is from RNAcentral. Lineage: Eukaryota; Metazoa; Mollusca; Bivalvia; Mytilida; Mytilidae.
AAAAGACUCUUCUACAUACAGUUAAUGAGUUUUAUCGCAAUACGGCUAAUUUAAAUAUACAUUUUAAGUAGAAGAGGAAAAAACUCCCAUCAAUGUCUCCGUAACCUUUAAUCAAAAUAUGUUACGACAUGUAGCAACUAAUAAUUUGUAACAAUAUUUUGUUGAUUUCUUAUACAAUUCUGUAGAUAAGUGAUAAUUAGCCAAA